AGAUUGAACGCUGGCGGCAUGCCUUACACAUGCAAGUCGAACGGCAGCACGGGAGCAAUCCUGGUGGCGAGUGGCGAACGGGUGAGUAAUACAUCGGAACGUGCCCAAUCGUGGGGGAUAACGCAGCGAAAGCUGUGCUAAUACCGCAUAAGAUCUACGGAUGAAAGCGAGGGGAUCGCAAGACCUUGCGACGAAGUGGAGCGGCCGAUGGCAGAUUAGGUAGUGGUGAAGGUAAAGGCUCACCAAGCCUUCGAUCUGUAGUCUGGUCUAGAGGAGGACCGACCAGCCCACGACUGGGGACUGAGACC
Molecule: ribosomal RNA, 308 nt
Filed under: uncultured soil bacterium
Lineage: Bacteria
Description: bacterial SSU rRNA
Rfam family: Bacterial small subunit ribosomal RNA
Source: RNAcentral